ACGUAGGGUGCGAGCGUUAAUCGGAAUUACUGGGCGUAAAGCGUGCGCAGGCGGUUCUGUAAGACAGGUGUGAAAUCCCCGGGCUCAACCUGGGAACUGCGUUUGUGACUGCCGGGCUGGAGUACGGCAGAGGGAGGUGGAAUUCCACGUGUAGCAGUGAAAUGCGUAGAGAUGUGGAGGAACACCGAUGGCGAAGGCAGCCCCCUGGGCCGAUACUGACGCUCAUGCACGAAAGCGUGGGGAGCAAACAG
RNAcentral lists this ribosomal RNA (251 nucleotides) under uncultured prokaryote. RNAcentral's name for it is "partial 16S ribosomal RNA". It matches the Rfam family "Bacterial small subunit ribosomal RNA", at positions 525 to 775 of the family's 1533-position model. The record is from RNAcentral.